AUUGAACGCUGGCGGAAUGCUUUACACAUGCAAGUCGAACGGCAGCACGGACUUCGGUCUGGUGGCGAGUGGCGAACGGGUGAGUAAUAUAUCGGAACGUAUCCAAUAAUGGGGGAUAACUAAUCGAAAGGUUAGCUAAUACCACAUACGCCCUGAGGGGGAAAGCUAGGGACCGCAAGGCCUGGCGUUAAUGGAGCGGCCGAUAUCUGAUUAGCUAGUUGGUGAGGUAAAGGCUCACCAAGGCUUCGAUCAGUAGCUGGUCUGAGAGGACGACACGCCACACUGGAACGGAGACACGGUCCAGACUCCUACGGGAGGCAGCAGUGGGGAAUUUUGGACAAUGGGCGAAAGCCUGAUCCAGCCAUUCCGCGUGGGUGAAGAAGGCCUUCGGGUUGUAAAGCUCUUUCGCAAGGGAAGAAAACUUAUCCUCUAACAUAGGGUGAGAUUGACGGUACCUUGAUAAGAAGCACCGGCUAACUACGUGCCAGCAGCCGCCGUAA
RNAcentral lists this ribosomal RNA (500 nucleotides) under uncultured bacterium. RNAcentral describes it as "partial 16S ribosomal RNA". It matches the Rfam family "Bacterial small subunit ribosomal RNA", at positions 30 to 523 of the family's 1533-position model. The record is from RNAcentral.